UAUAGCAAAUUUUAAACAAAACAGCCACUCUUUGGUUGAGUUACCAUUACUGGUCAGUAGAGUAAACGAGAGGUAUGUCUUUGUAUUCAACCCACCAUGCUUCACUGUUGGGACUGUAUUAGACAGGUGAUGAGCAAUGCCUGUUGUUUUUCACACACACCGCUUAGAAUUAAGCCCAAAAAGUUCUAUGUUGGUCUCAUCAGACCAGAGCAUCUUAUUUCUCACCAUCUUGAAGUCCUUCAGGUGUUUUUUUUUAGCAGACUCCAUGCAGGCUUUCAUGUGUCUUGCACUGAGGAGAGGCUUCUGUUGGGCCACUUGCCAUAAAGCGCCAACUGGUGGAGGGAUGCAGUGAUGGUUGACUUUCUAAAACUUCAUCCUAUCUCACGACUGCAUCUCUGGAGCUCAGCCACAGUGAUCUUUGGGUUCUUCUUUACCUCUCUCGCCAAGGCUCUUCUCCCCCUAUUGCUCAGUUUGGCCGGACAGCCAGCUCUAGGAAGGGUUCUGGUCGUCCCAAAUAUCUUCCAUUUAAGGAUUAUGCAGGCCACUGUGCUCUCAGGAACCUUAAGUGCAGCAUAAUUUUUUUUGUAACCUUGGCCAGAUCUGUGCCUUCUGUCUCUGAGCUCUUCAGGCAGUUCCUUUGACCUCAUGAUGGUAAUUUGCUCUGACAUGCACUGUGAGCUGUAAGGUCUUAUACAGACAGGUGUGUGGCUUUCCUAAUCAAGUCCAAUCAGUAUAAUGAAACACAGCUGGACUCCAAUGAAGGCGUAGAACCAUCUCAAGGAUGAUCAAAAGAAAUCGACAGCACCCGAGUUAAAUAUGAGUGUCAUAGCAAAGAGUCUGAAUACUUAUGGCUGUGUGAUAUUUCAGUUUUUCUUUUUUAAUAAAUCUGCAAAAAUUUCAACAAUUCAGUUUUUUUCUGUCAAUAUGGGGUGCUGUGUGUACAUAACGCGAAAAAAUGAACUUAAAUGAUUUUAGCAAAUGGCUGCAAUAUAACAAUGAGUGAAAAGGUUAAGGGGGUUUGAAUACUUUCCAUACUCACUAUUUAUCUAGCAGUGUCUCCAGUUCAGUUCUGUCAUGUUUGUGUGUGCUGUGGUUGUUAGCUUCCCCCUGCCUUGUGCACACCUGCUCCAGAGUGCAUCUUCCCCACCUGCGCCUUGUUUACCCUAAUUACCCUAUGUAGAGAACCUUGUAUCUGCUUCUCUGUGGUCGCCAGUUCGUUUUACCUUGUUGUCACAUUGCAGCAUUCUCUAUUCCAUAUCCCUGACUUGUAGUAAGACUCGAUCCUGUUUUUGAUUCCCGACCUUGCCUUUUCCUCACGUGAUUCUGUUGCCCUCACUGAUUGCCCACCUGUGUACCGACCCCUGCCUGUUUAUUAACAGUGUUUUUUGGAACUAACUUAUGCCAUUGAGUCUUGCAUUUGAGUCAUCCUCCAUGUACUGUCCAUGGCAGAACGAACUGGCCACAAUAUGGACUCAGCAGACUCUGACCCCAUGUGUAAUGCACUCCAAUUAUAGGAACAGCAGCUCACACAACAAGACGAGCAGCUUUGUGCUCUCCGCUUGAACUUGCGUGAACAGACCGGGCGUCAGGUCUCAAAUGAUGAGACAAGUAGGCUCACAAUUUGAUUUAAUAAUCACUGCAUUACAGAGAGGGGGACUGCCGGCCACAGCACCUGAUCCUGCCGUCGUGCCACUCCCAGUUUCAACGCCACCAGUUGCCACUUCGGCGCUUUUUCCUCAGCUCUACCAACCGGGGAGGUUCUCGGGAAAUUGCAGCCAUUCAUUACGCAGUCUGAUCUCCACUUCAAACUGCAAGCAGGUGCCUUCCCAACCAAGUGGGCUAAGAUUGCCUUCGUCAUCUCACACCUGACUGGUCACGCACAGGCGUGGGCUAUCACUGAAUGGACCCACAAUUCUUCCACCUAUCAUUCCUGGGUGGCUUUUGUGACCAGAUUUUUUAACAUAUUACUCCAGAUUGUGAGGCGGCACAGGUUCCUACUCGCCAUACAGCAAGGCAAUCGAAUGGUGUCAGAGUAUACGAUUGAAUUUCACAUUCUUGCGGCUAAGAGUCAGUGGAACAACAGCGCACCAUUCAAUGCAUUUUUUUCAAAGACUAUAUGUUGGAUCUAUCUCACCCAACACCUAUAAAAAUAGACACAAAAGGAAUGAAGACGCUGGUUUCUUUUGCUCAUGAGGAGGGCGUAUGGGAGAUUGUUCAGAUUACAGCCUCUCAUCACGCUCUAAACAAUCUCUCCCGUCACUCCUGUAUUUAUUUGAAAUAGGGAGGUUUCUGAGUUACAAGACAUAACUUACUAAGCUUACAAGACACAACACACUAAGGGGAGGGUUUCAAGGUGAAGACAUGAGACCUGCCAUGUCCCCGGCCACAUCCUUGGUCACGGCGCCCUUCUAUCGGAUGAUCCCUGCUGAGUCAUCUUCUUGAAGGCGAGACAUCUUCCUUUCUCAAAAUCAUCCAUAAUACUAAUGCAAGCUAAGCAAAUUAAUGAUAACUUCUACAAUAUAUUUAACACUAUAUUACCCAGCGUUAAGACCAUUUGGUUCCACGAGAUCUGCCCACCGACUUGGACACUCUUAUUGCACUAUCCAUUAAAAUUGACAAGAGACUCUUCCAACGCGAGGUAGAGAGAGGCCGGCAGAGGGAACGUCAUGCAUCACGGCGUGCUUGGAGGACGAGCGCAAUGGAACAACCUAACCAUGACUCGUCUUUCACCCGAGGAACGCCAACGUCGGCUGACUGAGGGGCGGUGCUUCUACUGCGGGCUGUUGGGCCGUUCCAUGAGCAGCUGCCACGUCAAAGUUGCGGAUGCUGUUACCAAAAAAUGGGGAGCGGUGAGUUUAAAUCUUAUUAAGGAGGAUUCUGCGCACAUUCUUCCUAGAGUGACGACACUAAGUUUAGCCGAUCGUGUAUUCAUUGACUCUGGUUCUAAUCCUAAUCUGCUGUACUCUCUUAACGUUAGGCAGAUGCGCCUUAAAAGCUAUCGAGUAAGACACCCUUGGAGUGUGUAUGCAGCUGAUGGUAGUUUCCUGGGCACGAUUACUCAUCGCACACAAACCCUCACAUGGUCAUUUCAAGAGUCUCAUUGUGAACACAUAAGUUUACACGUUUUGGGAGUCAUGAAUUACGACCUCAAUUUAGGACGCCUUUGGUUGAUAUUGCUUAACCCUCAAAUUGACUGGUCCGCAGGGCAAAUUAUUUCAUGGGGGAGCAAUUGUCAUCAGAACUGUUUCAAGACUAUGUUACGACAAAGGUAAUGUUACUACUGAAAUUCCGCCGAUGACAUCCGAAGAGCCCAAUUUAUCACAAGUGUCCACCUGUUACAAUGACCUUAAAGAAGUGGUUUCCAAAGCCAAAACAAAGUGUCUUCCAUCCCGUAGACCUUAUUGUGACUCUCCCAUAGACUUGCUGCUGGGAACCACACCUCCGCGAGGGAGAUUGUUUUCUAUUUUCAGGCCCUGAACACAAGGCUAUGAAGGAGUAUGUGGAGGAGUCGCUGGCAGCCGGCAUCAUUCGUCCAUCUUCGUCCCUGCUGCAGCGGGAUUUUUCUUUGUCGACAAGACAAAACCCUGCGACCCUGUAUUGAUGACAGGGGAGUCAACAAAAUAACUGAAAAAACAGGUACCCUCUUCCCCUCAUUUCCACUGCCUUUGAAAACCUGAAUGGAGAUCUUUCUAUAGACUUUGUGACUGGUUUGCCUCCCUCGAAAGUGAAUACUGCUGUCCUCACUGUUGUGGACAGGUCCUCCAAAAUGGUACACUUUAUUGCUUUACCCAAACUCCCCUCGGCCAAGGAAACUGCCGAGGUCAUGCUAAACAAUGUCUUCAGAAUUCAUGGUUUUCCCAAGAAUGUUGUAUCAGACAGGGGUCCCCAAUUUAUCUCACAAUUUUGGAAAGAGUUUUGCAAUCUAAUAGGUGCAACGGUCAAGCUGCCAUCUGGGUUUCACCCCGAGUGCAAGUGACAAUCCGAGAGGCGCAACCAAAAACUAGAAUGGGCUCCAACGUCUCGCCUCACAGAACCCAAAGUAAUAGACUCAAAACCUGGUUUGGUUGGAAUAUUCCCAUAAUUCUCUCCCAUCUGCAUCCACGGGUCUGUCACCAUUUGUGCAUAGUUACAAACCCUCUCCGUUCCCUGCGCUAGUCCACAAGUCAUCCGUCCCAUCUGCAGUGGCCUUGUUAAGAUGCUGCAGGAGGAUCUGGGAGCAAGCCCGUCAAAUGAUGCUGCACCAAGGAAAGACCUACAAGACGGCUGCCGAUCGCAGUAGAACACCGGCCCUAAACUACAAGGUGGGACAGCAGGUUUGGCUUUCCACCAAGCAUCUUCCACUCCGGGUGGAGUCCAAGAAGCUCAUUCCCAGGUCCAACCGGCAUUCGACGUCAGCCUGCUUAAGCCUGACAAGAAGUCCCCUCUGAUCCCUCCUUCCAUCUUCUCCACCUGCACCUUGUUUACCCUAAUUACCCCAUGUAUAUAAUAUUGUCACCUUCCCUAUGGUCACCAGUUUGUUGUACCUUGUUUUCACAUUCCAGCAUUCUCUAUUCCAUAUCCCUGACUCAUACUAAGACUUGAUCCUGUUUUUGAUUCCCGACCUUGCCUUUUGCCUCACGUUUUUGAUACUUUCGUCCUCACUGGUUGCCCACCCAUGUACCGACCCCUGUCUGUUUAUUAAACAGUGUUUU
Phyllopteryx taeniolatus (common seadragon) is the source of this 4691-nucleotide long non-coding RNA. RefSeq lists it as uncharacterized. Lineage: Eukaryota; Metazoa; Chordata; Actinopteri; Syngnathiformes; Syngnathidae. The transcript has 3 exons. The record is from RefSeq and is a predicted model, not a curated record.